AAUAUUGCACAAUGGAGGGAACUCUGAUGCAGCGACGCCGCGUGAACGAUGAAGGCCUUCGGGUCGUAAAGUUCUGUCCUUGGGGAAGAUAAUGACGGUACCCGAGGAGGAAGCCCCGGCUAACUACGUGCCAGCAGCCGCGGUAAUACGUAGGGGGCGAGCGUUGUCCGGAAUUAUUGGGCGUAAAGGGUUCGCAGGCGGCCUAAAAAGUCAUAUGUGAAAGGUAAGGGCUCAACCCUUGCAAGCAUAUGAAACUUUUAGGCUUGAGUUAAGGAGAGGAAAGUGGAAUUCCUAGUGUAGCGGUGAAAUGCGUAGAUAUUAGGAGGAAUACCAGUGGCGAAGGCGACUUUCUGGACUUAUACUGACGCUGAGGAACGAAAGCGUGGGGAGCAAACA
This 396-nucleotide ribosomal RNA is filed under the name uncultured bacterium. RNAcentral's name for it is "partial 16S ribosomal RNA". It matches the Rfam family "Bacterial small subunit ribosomal RNA", at positions 360 to 774 of the family's 1533-position model. The record is from RNAcentral.